GCUCCCAUGGCGUAAAGUGGUCACUGCGCUCGCCUUGCACGCGGGAGACCCGGGUUCGAUUCCCGGCGAGGUCA
This 74-nucleotide transfer RNA is filed under the name Diaphorina citri (Asian citrus psyllid). It matches the Rfam family "tRNA". From Rfam's summary of the family: Transfer RNA (tRNA) molecules are approximately 80 nucleotides in length. Lineage: Eukaryota; Metazoa; Arthropoda; Insecta; Hemiptera; Psyllidae. The record is from Rfam by way of RNAcentral.